RNAcentral lists this unclassified non-coding RNA (383 nucleotides) under uncultured Planctomycetota bacterium. Its description in RNAcentral is "uncultured planctomycete contains 16S-23S intergenic spacer region". Lineage: Bacteria; Pseudomonadati; Planctomycetota. The record is from RNAcentral.
UCCCACUUAACGUGGGCAGUCUCCUUAGAGUCCCCGGCAUGACCCGAUGGUAACUAAGGAUAAGGGUUUCGCUCGUUAUGGGACUUAACCCGACAUCUCACGACACGAGCUGACGACAGCCAUGCAACACCUGUGUACGCUCCCGACUCUACGGGUCGUCGCCCUUUCAGGUUUCUACUACGUACAUGUCAAGCCCGGGUAAGGUUCUUCGCGUUGCUUCGAAUUGAACCACAUGCUCCACCGCUUGUGCGAGCCCCCGUCAAUUCCUUUGAGUUUUAGCCUUGCGACCGUACUCCCCAGGCGGCUUACUUAAUCCGUUAGGUUCGGCAGAGAAGACAUCAGAUUCUCCUCUACUUAGUAAGCAUCGUUUACAGCCAGGACUA